CAAGAACACGUGCAUUGUAAUAUUUCAAACAAAAACGAAGAUUGUACAGCUUUUCAGAAAUAGUGUCACCAAUAGCAUGACCCUUCAUUAAGGACGCCGAGUAUAU
Molecule: long non-coding RNA, 106 nt
Organism: Haliotis rubra (blacklip abalone)
Lineage: Eukaryota; Metazoa; Mollusca; Gastropoda; Lepetellida; Haliotidae
Exons: 3
Source: RefSeq, a predicted model, not a curated record